UUCAUUCAAGGUACGUUUUUGUUUUUGUUUGUUGUCCAAUCAAGUUCCAGCAAGCUUUGUCUGUUUUGUUUUUGUGCAGUUGCCAUGGAGACAACUCAGCUUAUCCAGCUAAAUUAGUUGUUUGUACAAACCCAAAAGUUCUCCGAAUACAGAGAGAGGCACCACCAAGACAUCUGGACUACACCACAGAACCAACAGCCUCCCUGCUUCAGAGCGACCUCCCUGGGCCACUAGAACAACUGUUGAAGCCAAAGCUGAGAGUCAGCAGAGAGCUGCCAGAACCUGGAGCAAAAACCAGAGAACCCUGACUGAGGGCAGCUGCAGGAUCAAAUCACUGACCGCUCCGAUCUGGUAAUAAAACAUUCAGCUCAGCUUACCUAAAGUCACAGAAGGAGCUGAAUGAAGAAUGGAGAACAUGUUCUGAAUGUAAACCAAAGGAUCAACAGUUCUGUGUCAUCAGAACAGAGGGCUGCAGCACCCAGGGAGCUUUCUGAAGGUCUGGCUCAGGGACCCAGAGUGACAGUCUGUGGGAUUCGAACCAAUGAACCUGCUGCCUUGCCAGAACACAAGCAAUCUGCUCCACCACUCCCCAUGAAGGACCGCUAACACUGGAGUCUGGAUGUUUCUAUCCUCUGUUAACCAGAAGGAGCUCCACGUUUCUAACCUUUACUGAACAGCUGCUCCUCUGACUGUUUCUCACCUUAUUAAACUGUUUGCUUUCAGAGAGGUGAGAGUUUCACUUCUGUUUGGGACUGUUCAGAAACAAUCCUGCAGACGGUUUCAUCUGCAUGAAGCACCAUCACAUGUAGGUUCAGUGGGUGGA
Molecule: long non-coding RNA, 823 nt
Organism: Girardinichthys multiradiatus
Lineage: Eukaryota; Metazoa; Chordata; Actinopteri; Cyprinodontiformes; Goodeidae
Exons: 4
Source: RefSeq, a predicted model, not a curated record